Molecule: ribosomal RNA, 303 nt
Filed under: Triticum aestivum (bread wheat)
Lineage: Eukaryota; Viridiplantae; Streptophyta; Magnoliopsida; Poales; Poaceae
Description: partial small subunit ribosomal RNA
Source: RNAcentral
AUGGGUUGCAGUUUGGCUGACCAGAAGUGGGAGAUAUGGUUUCAUUUAGAACGAAGAAACCCUGUGAAAAGGGGUAUAUUUGAGUCAGAUAUUUCUUUGCUUACUCUACAAUCACUCAUUGCUAGUGAAGGGUAUGGGGACAGUGAUUACAUGUACUAUGUAAAGGAGGAGGAAAUUGGAUCUGAAAGAGUAAAGUAUUUAGGUAAUGAAGCUAGUGUCCAUGAAAUGUUGAAGUUUUUUCAUCAUGUCAAGCUAGUGAACAUAAAGGUUGUGAGAAAUGUUGAACCUAGAAUUAGUACAUAG